This 247-nucleotide ribosomal RNA is filed under the name uncultured bacterium. Its description in RNAcentral is "partial 16S ribosomal RNA". It matches the Rfam family "Bacterial small subunit ribosomal RNA", at positions 524 to 776 of the family's 1533-position model. The record is from RNAcentral.
UACGUAGGGUGCAAGCGUUAAUCGGAAUUACUGGGCGUAAAGCGAGCGUAGUCGGUUAUUUAAGUCGGAUGUGAAAGCCCCGGCUCAACCUGGAAUUGCACUCGAUACUGGAUAGCUAGAGUUCGGCAGAGGAAGCGGAAUUUCCGGUGUAGCGGUGAAAUGCGUAGAUAUCGGAAGGAACAUCAGUGGCGAAAGCGGCUUCCUGGACCAGAACUGACGAUCAGGCUCGAAGCGUGGGAGCAACAGG